Molecule: long non-coding RNA, 794 nt
Organism: Arachis duranensis
Lineage: Eukaryota; Viridiplantae; Streptophyta; Magnoliopsida; Fabales; Fabaceae
Exons: 3
Source: RefSeq, a predicted model, not a curated record
UUUCCUUUCUCUAUUUCCUAGACCGUAGAUCAAAACAAGUAGAGUAAUAGCAAGAACACAAUUUACACAUGCAAGAGGGGAGAAACCUUCUCCAAUCGUACCUCAAUCAUCCAACCUUGUCAGCCGCAAAGAACUUGAUUGCUGAGAAGAUGGAGUUGUUGACGACAAUGACGACAAUCCGCCAUUGUCCACCGUUGUGUUGCUGUGAGAUGUGGUAAGCUGUAACCCCUUUAAUCUCUCUGGUCGAGAAUCGCAGCGCAAUUUCUGGGAACGCAGGGCAGAAAAGCAUCAAAGGAUCAGGUUAGCAAGUGGAGAGGCGCAGAAAUAAUGCAACCUCCGGUGUCAUUGUGGCUCCACGCCAGAGGAGCCACUGUUGAACGCCAGAGGAUCAGCUAGGACAAUGAAGCCAUAAAAAUGCUAAUGGCAAACUGGCAGCUGUUGUGGAAUUCAAACCUGAAAGAAGAUUUCCAGUGUGGUCUCCAAAUACCGCUGCUAUAGCACCUGUAGAGUGCGCUUCAACAAACACUGCAUCAAUAUUGCACUUAACCCAUCCUGUCAGAGGCGGUCUCCAAUUACCUUCAGUCCAUCUAACUGUAACUCAUUCAACAUUGUUUUCGUAAUAAAAGGUUAGACCUCUUUAUUAUCCAUGACUUGUAUAUAGUCCUCUUGCCCCCUCACUUCUACUACUUUGAAUUAUUAUUUAAAUUGUGGGCCUCUUUUUUUACUGGCUUAUGUUUGGACUUUGUAGGAAUAAUUAAUUGCACUCACCUUUUUUUUUAUGAUACAAAAUUGAU